CUCACUCCUUGCGACUCUUGUUCUCCCUCCACCUCUCUGAUCAAUGUCAACCCUAACCCAUCUCCAAUCACAACAUUUCAGCACCGUCCAAACCCCAUCAUUUUCACCUCGUUGUCAUGGUAGGAACUCGCUACACCCGUUGCCGCUGCACUCAUUUCCAUUGUCGAUCUGGUGGUGGAUCCGGGAUGGAUUUGCUGAUUUCAGGAGAAUCAGGGGAUAUGGUUUUUGCAUAACCCCUCCAUCAUCCCGAGCGUCAGGUUCUUAUAGGUUGAUCAUGAUUCAUGGCCAUCCAUCCAUUGGUAACCAUCGUGCAUCAAGAAGUCUAUUGCAUCAAGAUAAAUAUGCUCUCUGCCAUGAAGUAUGUAUGGCAGAUCUAAUUGUUUGAUCCGUGAAGUGAAAGAUGAGGGUAGGUAAAGGAGAAAAUAAGACUAAUUUUCAGCUUGAAAAUGGUUUUGUACAAAUGGAAAAAAUAAAUAAAUAAUCUAAUGAUCUUACUGGUAAAUCAGAAUUCAUAGAAAAACCAGCUUCCAUCUAUACAAUCAAACCCAAAAGGCAGAA
Molecule: long non-coding RNA, 558 nt
Organism: Magnolia sinica
Lineage: Eukaryota; Viridiplantae; Streptophyta; Magnoliopsida; Magnoliales; Magnoliaceae
Exons: 3
Source: RefSeq, a predicted model, not a curated record